RNAcentral lists this non-coding RNA (91 nucleotides) under Variovorax sp. Root473. RNAcentral's name for it is "Glycine riboswitch aptamer". It matches the Rfam family "Glycine riboswitch aptamer". From Rfam's summary of the family: This family represents the bacterial glycine riboswitch. Glycine riboswitches usually consist of two metabolite-binding aptamers domains with similar structures in tandem. The aptamers cooperatively bind glycine to regulate the expression of downstream genes. Lineage: Bacteria; Pseudomonadati; Pseudomonadota; Betaproteobacteria; Burkholderiales; Comamonadaceae. RNAcentral also lists the same sequence under 1 other name. The record is from Rfam by way of RNAcentral.
CUCGCCGGGUCAGGAGAGAGCCCCGCAUGACGGGGCCGCCGAAGGCGCAGGGGUUCCCCGAACGCUCAGGCAAAAGGACUGACAAGACGCC